RNAcentral lists this ribosomal RNA (465 nucleotides) under uncultured bacterium. RNAcentral describes it as "bacterial SSU rRNA". It matches the Rfam family "Bacterial small subunit ribosomal RNA", at positions 340 to 793 of the family's 1533-position model. The record is from RNAcentral.
UACGGGGAGGCAGCAGUGGGGGAAUAUUGCACAAUGGGCGCAAGCCUGAUGCAGCCAUGCCGCGUGUGUGAAGAAGGCCUUCGGGUUGUAAAGCACUUUCAGUCGUGAGGAAGGUAGUGUAGUUAAUAGCUGCAUUAUUUGACGUUAGCGACAGAAGAAGCACCGGCUAACUCCGUGCCAGCAGCCGCGGUAAUACGGAGGGUGCGAGCGUUAAUCGGAAUUACUGGGCGUAAAGCGCAUGCAGGUGGUUUGUUAAGUCAGAUGUGAAAGCCCGGGGCUCAACCUCGGAAUUGCAUUUGAAACUAGGCAGACUAGAGUACUGUAGAGGGGGGUAGGAAUUUCAGGUGUAGCGGUGAAAUGCGUAGAGAUCUGAAGGAAUACCGGUGGCGAAGGCGGCCCCCUGGACAGAUACUGACACUCAGAUGCGAAAGCGUGGGGAGCAAACAGGAUUAGAUACCCUGGUAG